This 454-nucleotide ribosomal RNA is filed under the name uncultured Marinilabiliaceae bacterium. RNAcentral describes it as "partial 16S ribosomal RNA". It matches the Rfam family "Bacterial small subunit ribosomal RNA", at positions 341 to 792 of the family's 1533-position model. The record is from RNAcentral. Lineage: Bacteria; Pseudomonadati; Bacteroidota; Bacteroidia; Marinilabiliales; Marinilabiliaceae.
ACGGGAGGCAGCAGUGAGGAAUAUUGGUCAAUGGACGGAAGUCUGAACCAGCCAAGUCGCGUGCGGGAUGAAGGCCCUACGGGUCGUAAACCGCUUUUGUACGGGGAUAAAGUCACCCACGUGUGGGUGUUUGUAGGUACCGUAAGAAUAAGGAUCGGCUAACUCCGUGCCAGCAGCCGCGGUAAUACGGAGGAUCCGAGCGUUAUCCGGAUUUAUUGGGUUUAAAGGGUGCGCAGGCGGGCUGCUAAGUCUCCGGUGAAAUGUCAGGGCUCAACCUUGGCACUGCCGGAGAUACUGGCGGCCUUGAGAGUGGCGGAGGUAUCCGGAAUGUGUGGUGUAGCGGUGAAAUGCAUAGAUAUUAGGAGGAACACCAGUGGCGAAGGCGGCUUACUGGACUGUAACUGACGUUGAGGCUCGAAAGCGUGGGGAGCAAACAGGAUUAGAUACCCUGGUA